RNAcentral lists this long non-coding RNA (428 nucleotides) under Helianthus annuus (common sunflower). RNAcentral's name for it is "sRNA HanXRQr2_Chr08g0359341". Lineage: Eukaryota; Viridiplantae; Streptophyta; Magnoliopsida; Asterales; Asteraceae. The record is from RNAcentral.
UUUGGAGCUUGCUUCCAUCCUUGGAGGCCUCCUACCUGAGAUCUUAUAGUGUUCUUCAACACAAGUGCCACUUGAUUCCUUGAUCCUUCAAGCUUUGUUUGCUCUUUAUUUCAAGACUUAUACGCAAUUCCAAGAGCUUAUGUUUUGUGCAUGCUUCACAUAGGCCGGACUUGGGCCUUAGUGACUUUAAAAUCUGCAAGACAAUUGUUGUGUACUAUUUGUUAUCUUCCAAGACAAUGUAAUCAAUUAACUCAAUCAAGCAAAACUUUAUGAGCCUUGUGUUAUGAAACAAUUUGUAACGUGACUCCCCAAUGUUUUCGCCGCGUGAUGUUGUUGUAUAUUACGCGAUUGGGGUGUUACACGCCGGAACCCUAGUCCGGUGGCCGGAAGUGAGAGAGAAAGGUAAGGUGAGCCCAAUGCGUCUAUGA